GCGGGCCCCUACUAAUGUAUUGUAUAGUAGGGUAUAGUAGGCGAGCGAGUUAGCGAAGACGCUUAGGCUAAUAGAUAAGAGAGCGUCGGUGCGUAGCCUUCAUUCUACUACGCUACGAAAGAAAAGGUUACGAAGUCACUUAGCUCGACGUUAGGAGAGUCAAGGGGGGAACACCAUACCUACAUAGAAGAACCGCUGUUCGCUGACUUUCUAAGGUCUAAACCUUUCGCUCCCCGGCGCAAAGCCGCUUCGCACCACUGAGAGACUACUUAAGAUUAAAUUAAAAAGGCGCCCUACUUAGUUGACUGACAAUGACAAAGGCUUGCGAAACUAAGUAGGGCCUGAGGCCCCCUGCGAAUCCGUAAAUAUGAGGAGCAUGCCGCAACAAAAGGAUGGUCCCCUAUGUAUUUCAUUCUUUCCGGAAGGGAAAAAAAAGAAGUACCCCCAUCAUGGUGAACCUCUCCUUGUGAUCGGGAUGAGGUAGAUGCCUCCCAGCCGGGGGGGCGGAUCGAAUCGGAGUUUCCUUAGGUAGCCACCGACCUACAGUUAUCCUUAAACUUCCGUGCUUGGUGGAGAAGAAGCGAACAAAGGUACGCUCGCUUGCUGUCUUGUUCUCUGCCGCGAACUGGGAUCGCUCGCCAGCUAGGUCAGAUUGGAGCUACUUUUUUUUUGAGAACAUAUUACCCAUAUUCGGGGACAAGGGGCGGAACGACCUCUCGAUCUACUUACUGCAGCCCGGGAAUAAAAACGUCGUCUAGGCGUUCCCUGUUGCUCCGAUCUCCCCUACGCCUAGGACGUUGUCUGGGCCAAGAGCCAUAGUUAG
RNAcentral lists this long non-coding RNA (823 nucleotides) under Rosa chinensis. Its description in RNAcentral is "sRNA RchiOBHm_MTg0498821". Lineage: Eukaryota; Viridiplantae; Streptophyta; Magnoliopsida; Rosales; Rosaceae. The record is from RNAcentral.